Molecule: long non-coding RNA, 34843 nt
Filed under: Prunus persica (peach)
Lineage: Eukaryota; Viridiplantae; Streptophyta; Magnoliopsida; Rosales; Rosaceae
Description: long non-coding RNA (PPER_LNC004544)
Source: RNAcentral
AAAAUGUGCAAAUGCAAGGUGUCAGGGUUUCUGCUUCCGGGAACAGCCCUAACACCGAUGGCAUUCAUGUCCAAAUGUCAUCUGGUGUCACAAUCCUCAACUCCAAGAUUGCAACCGGUGACGAUUGUGUCUCAAUUGGCCCCGGAACCUCAAAUUUGUGGAUAGAAGGCGUUGCUUGUGGACCUGGCCAUGGAAUUAGGUACGACAUCAAAAUUAUAUAUUUAUCCAUGAUUGAUCAAACUAGCUAAAUGCAUACUAUUUCAUAAUAUAUGUUAUAAUGUAUAUCUUUUUUCUUCGUUGCUUAAUGACAUUUGAACUUAGGACAUCUUUCAAUAAAGUGGAGAUUAAUUGGUUGCUAGUAGAGAUUCAUUGCCUACAAAAAGUAUAUCUUUCUUUUGGGUGGAUGUUCUAGUUGUAAAUUUAACAUUGCUUUAUUUGAUGGUUCAGCAUUGGAAGUCUAGGCAAGGAGCAAGAAGAGGCCGGUGUACAAAAUGUAACAGUUAAAACGGUUACCUUUACUGGUACUCAGAAUGGUCUAAGAAUCAAGUCAUGGGGGAGGCCAAGCACUGGGUUUGCUAGAAAUAUUCUUUUCCAACAUGCUACAAUGGUCAAUGUCGAAAAUCCUAUUGUCAUAGAUCAACAUUAUUGCCCCGACAACAAAGGGUGCCCUGGUCAGGUAAGAUAUCAUUCUUGCUCUAACGGUCAAUUCCCAGAGUUUAAUAUUACAACUAAAUUUUCUCUUCUUCACUUUCAUAGUGUAACGUUUUUGAUAAAAACGUUGGCAUCGCCAAAUUAUAACUGUCUAAUUUCGAAACAUAUCAAAAGCUUUCUUGGGCUUCCACCUAGAAGAGCCAAUAAUUUUAGACCCAAAGCAAAUCCAAUAACUCCUUCUUCCAUGGGCUUGCUCUCCUACUACUUACAAAGGUCGAGCCUUGCCCAUUGUAACCUUUGUAACUUAUUAAUUUCAUUGUAUGUGCAAUGAGAUUGAGGGUUGUAGCUUAAGUGGUUAACAAUAUUUACUCAUGUAUUCGAAGUUCUAGAUUUAAUUCCCCUCUUUUCCAAUACCAUUUUUAUCAAAAUGACUUCAUCGUAGCUUAGCCAAAAAAGCAUUAAACUUCCCAUUAAGCCGAAUUACCAUGCUAUAAUGCUUGUUCACCUUCUGUUUUAUCAAAAGCUGGAAAUCUGACUUCCUAUUGUUUUUUUUCUUUUGUCAAUUUUGUUUUUCGAUAGGUUUCCGGAGUUCAAAUUAGCGAUGUGACAUACGAAGACAUACACGGUACAUCAGCAACAGAAGUUGCAGUAAAAUUUGAUUGCAGUCCCAAGCACCCUUGCAGCGAGAUCAAAUUGGAGGAUGUGAAGCUUACUUACAAGAACCAAGCAGCUGAGUCUUCAUGUAGCCAUGCAGAUGGAACAACUGAGGGUGUGGUUCAGCCUACAAGUUGUUUGUAGAGUGGAAAAAUAUGAACUGCUUGUAGAAGUAUUGAAAUCCAAAAGUUUGCCCUCCAGUACUAAGGACAAAUGAAAAGUGAAUUAUACGAUUUAUAUAGGAAGAAUGAGCUUGUGUUGUUGGCAGCCUACUUGGGCUUCCCUUGAGCCUGGCCGUUCAAUUAGUUUAGUUUGUUCAAACUCGUCCACUUCGAUGGGUGUUUAUGUUAUGAAUUGUUGUAAGAUUAUGUUCGGGAUACGUUAAAUUUAUAAGAUUAAAUUUUAUGUUGAUGGCUAAUGUGGCAUUUGACAUAGGAUUCAAUAUUCUAUCAAUUUAAUUCACAAUUUUAUUAUAAUCGAAGCACACAUUAAAUAGUAAAAAUUUGGUUCAAGAAACAAAAGGAUUUGAAGUCUCGCAUGAACUUUUUGGUUGGAGCAUUUUCUCAUGUCAAAUUUUACCCGUUAAAAAUUUAUUAUGAUAUUUUAACAUUUCGGUUGGAGUAUUUUUUUCAUGUCAAAUUUGACCCGUUAAAAAUUUACUAUGGUAUUUUAGCAUUUCGGUUGGAGAUGUAUAAAUCUUAAAAAUGCAUUCAAGAUGCAUUUUUGUUUCUUAAGCUUUGAGCUUUAGGUAAUUAACUUUAAAUGUUGUUGGGCACCUUGCACUAGUUGAUUAAAGAAAAAUAGACCCGAAGCAAGAUUCCUUGUAGUUGCCAAUUCGAAGUUUUCUUUAUCGCUACAUACUUACUGGUCUACAAGUUCUCUCUCUAAUACAUAAUUUGACAUAAAUAAAUACAGUGAAGAGUGCAUUGACUAAACAGAAAAAAAAACAAAAAAAGCAGCACGUAAGCAAUUACGUGCAUUUGGUGUAAAAGCUAAAGGCCUCUGAUUUAUGUAAGCAGUUACGGUAAUCAUAUUAUAUUAUAUGUAUCUUAGUUCUGCAAUUGUAACAGGAAUAAUAUUGUUUUGUUAUCCCCAAUCAAUAAUACAAUGAUACGUGAAAAAGUUAUUUAACAUGUCAUUGCGUUAUUAGCUGGGGAUAGCAAACAGUGCUAUCCCCAUUACAUGAAAGUCUUUCUCCUGCAUAUCCUAUUAUACUAUUAUAAAACUCAAUUGGUCAAUCAUAGUGAAAAAAAUAUAGUGAAAGAAAAAAGAAGAAGAAGAAAAUAUCAAUUAAGCCCCUCUUAUAUUGAACACUUCAAUAAUAAAAUAAAAAUUGCAUAUGGAGUAAAGUCAGUCAGUUAAGAUAGUAUGCUAGUUCUUUUGCACCUGAGUUCAAUUUCCUUCCCCGAACAUUUUCAAAUAAAUAAUAAUAAAAUAAAAUGUGAAUUUGAUAGUCAAUGUCGUAGUAAAAUAUGGUUUUUUAGUAUCAAUAUUAAGGAAAGCCAUUGUUCUUUCUAGCAGAAUGCCCGCCACUGCUAGAGAGAGAGAGAGAGAGAGAGCGGAAUGGCAGAAGUGAGUAACAAGCAGGUGAUACCGAGGGAGUAUGUCACUGGCUUUCCCAAAGAGUCAGACUUGUACGUGAAUAGCACUGCUACUAUCAAGUUGAAGCUUUCUGAGGCCCCCGAGCAUGAGGGUUCUUCAAAGAAACUAGUUCUAGUGAAGAAUCUUUACUUGUCCUGCGAUCCCUACCAACGACUAUUUAUGGAAAGAAUCGAAGGCCUCAGCAGCCAAUCCACUUCCUCCUAUACGCCUGGUUCUGUAAGCAAAACCCAUCAUAUAUCUUUUCCUUUCAAUUUCUGUAAACAUAUAUACCAAAUGUUAUGCUCAAAUAUAUAUUAAUUGUUAAACAUUGUUCCCUUAAAAAAAACAAUUUAUUGCAAAAUUGGAAUAUACAAGAGGUAACUCUGCACAAAUAUUAAUGACAAGAUGAGGUGGCUAAAAGCACUGUUAAUGUCUAUCAGCGCGCAAUGAGCACGAAUAACUGUGAUUAUUAAGUAGUAGGAGCUGAUAGUUGUUUUUGUUACCACAUCCUAUGCCACAAAUAUUAAUUAUUACCAAUUAUUCUUCUAGUAAUGCUUGUUUUUUUGUUGAUGGCAACAUUGGGAGGAGGGAAUCAAAUACAAGUUUGAUCAUAUGAUUAAUUUAAUUUUGUUGGUGUAAACGUGCAGCCAAUAUACGGGUAUGGAGUGGCUAAAGUUUUGGACUCUGGGCACCCAGAUUUGAAGGCAGGUGACUUAGUUUGGGGGACUACCUAUUGGGAAGAGUACAGCCGAAUCCCUGAACCCGAAGGCCUGAUCAAAAUCCAGCACACUGAUGUACCUCUAUCCUAUUAUACUGGAAUUCUUGGUAACAAGUCAAACCUAUUUUAGAUCAUGAUGAUAUGUGUUGGUUUAGAUACGUAAGUGUAUUUUUUGUAAUUUCAUUUCAGGUAUGCCUGGUUUGACCGCUUAUGUUGGUUUCUAUGAAAUUUGUUCUCCUAAGAAAGGAGAACAUGUCUUCAUUUCAGCAGCAGCUGGUGCUGUUGGUCAGCUUGUUGGACAAUUUGCAAAAUUAAUGGGUUGUUAUGUUGUUGGAAGUGCUGGCAGUAAGGAAAAGGUACGAACUUGAGAAAUCUUUGAACUUCAAAUUAAUAUUAUCUACACCAUUUUUUCUUGUUUGGGUUGUAUUUUGCUGUUGUUAUUUGGGCCAACUUUGGUGUUGGUUUGGUUUGGGGCCUCUGUUUGUGCGCUGGGACUACAAUGAGUGGAAAGUUAUAAGGGGUAAGUUAUAAGGGGUUCACUUUAUAGCCAUCAGAUCAAUCCAAGGGCUGGGGAGAAUUGAGAUAAAGUUUCACAAUUGGGUAGGUGAGGAACCCAAACCCGAAUUGAAUAUCCAGCACGUCCAAAAAGAAGAAGAAGAGGGAAACACGUUCGAAAAAGAAGAAGAAGAGGCAAGUUCGAAGUUUGAACAGAAAGAACUCAUCUCUCUAAAACCCAGAGGUCUGAGAUACCCAAUGAAGGCAACGGCUAACGACAGUUGAAGGCAACGAUUCGCCACUCCGUUCUCCAGACCCUGAAAAAGUAUUUAUUUGGAGUAGAAGGGGCAAAGGUGUGGAUUCCAAAUCAAUGAAGGGGCGAAGCAGUGGAAGGGGAAGGGGAGAAGCUAUAAUCGUUGGAAGUGGUAGGUUCCAUUUGUGGAGCAAAGAAACAGAAAGACCCCACACAGACACCUUGCAAUAACCAGCAUUUGGUGAGUAAUUUAUGGAAUUUGAGUUUAGGGUUAGAGUAAUGGUUUUCCUCAAUUUGUAGCAUAAAUUUUGUUGGAUUUGGCAUCUCUUCGUUGUGCUUGAGUUGCAUGUUAAUUUUUGCUUAGGUAUAUGUUAAAAAAAGAAUGAAAAUCAAGUCAAUAACAAGUGAAUAACAUGUCAAUAAUGAUAUGAAUAAGAUAAUGGUGUUGAAUUGGAGGAGGCCCUCAAAACCUUCCACAUUUGAAGCAGUGCAUAGUGCAGAUUAAGAAGAGGCGGUAGAAUAUAUAUAUAUAUAUAUAUAUAUAUAUUUUAUGAAGUAAAUAUGAUUUCCUUUGUUACUAAAUUUGCCUGAGAAACAUUUGAACAGAUAAUAAUAAACUCAUGAAUAGAAGUGCAAAGCAUUUGAUGAGUAAUUUAAGGAAUUUGAGUUUAGGGUUAGAGUAAUGGUUUUCCCCAAUUUGUACCAUCAAUGUUGUUGGAUUUGGCAUCUCUUAUUUGUGCUUCAAUUGCAUGUUAAUUUUUGCUUGGGUAUAUGUUAAAAAACGAAUGAAAAUAGAGUCAAUCACAUGUCAAUAACAUCUCAAUAACAUGUCAAUAACAUGUUAGUAAUGAUAUGAAUAAGAUAAUGGUGUUAAAUUGGAGGAGGCGCUCAAAACCUUCCACAUUUGAAGCAGUGCAGAGUGAAGAGUACCUCUCUGGCCCUAGAAUUUAUAUAUUUUGUGAAAUAAAUAUGAUUUCAUUUGUUACUAAAUUUGCCUAUGAGAAAUGAGAACAGAUAAUAAUAAACUCAUGAAUAAAAGUGCAAAGCAUUUGAAAUGAAGGUUGAUCUAUGACGAUUGUGGGUGACUGAAGAAAAAGCUAGAAAGAAAGAAGGAUGUGGCAAUUGCUUAGCAAGCAGAUAGCAGAGUAGAUGCUUUGCUUUGCUUCCUUCCACUAUAUUUCUUAUUUAUUUAUUUUGUGUUGUGUAUGAGAUGACAAUAAUUGUCAUGUGUGUGAAGUGCAGAACUUGCCUACAUUGCACUCACACGAGUAUGGAUCCAUAAAUAAAACACGUGAAAUUGUUUGUAAUUCACAUAAUCAUUGCAUUAACAGGUAUUUGCACAAAAUUUGUCAUAUUGCUUUGAUGAUGUUAAAGCCUAUGAUCAGUAAUCCGUAUGCUCAUGUACUUUGUAAAAUUUGUAAUGUGCCUGGUUGACUAGUUGUGAUUGUGCAAAUACGUGGCAGUAUAUGUGUUCACGUUAUUUCACAUUGUAUUUGAGGAAAUGGGAUCCAACGUGGAGCUGGUAUGGCCAGAGGCAGAGGCAUAUUCGUCACGGGUGAACAACUGCUCACAUGCAAAUUCAUCUCUAGCUGCAAUUCGAGCGAAGUUGAGUGCGGAACAAUUAGAACAAUUCAAGACAUCAUGCUUUGGCCAUCUUCUGAAUAUAGAUAAGAUUCAGUUUAGCGGGCAGAUUGUGCAUGGGGCUGUGUUGCGUAGAGUAGCGGGGCAGGGUGUGAAAGACUUGGAUGGACUGAGUUUCUUAUUAGGGUGUGACGUUGCUCAGUUCACUCGUCAGGAUUUCUGUUUGAUCACAGGGCUUCGUUUUGGGGAAGUGCCUGAAGUUUCCAGUGGAGAGAGUGAUGUAAUCAGACUUCAGAAAAGAUAUUUUAUAGACGAAGGAAUUACAUGCAAUGCUUUAGAAGAAGCAUUUAUGGGGUGCACAGAGGAAGAUGACAUCUACAAGCUAGCUCUUGUUUACUUUGCUGAGUUAGUGGUUUUGGGAAGGGACAAACAUUUGAACAUCAAUCUAAAUUACCUGACCCUUGUAGAGGACUUGGAUGCGUUCAACAGGUAUCCGUGGGGUUCGGUGUCCUUUGACAAAACCCAAGACAGUCUAUUUUCUGCACCAACAAAGUAUGUGAAAAGCUUGCAAAAUGAAGAGGGAAGAGGGAAGGGGAAAAGUAAGGUAACGGGAACAAGCCGGAGAAAUGAGAAGGGCAGGAAGGAUAAGCAUGGUGAAGCGCAAAGGAGUGGCUGGAGUUUUAAAGGUUUCACGUAUGCUUUCCAGGUACAUGGUAAUAAUGUUCAUGUGAGUUAUGUUUUGUUUUUCUUUAAAACAUAAAUAAUGACUUUUGUCCUGUGAAUUGUGUAGAUUUGGGUAUAUGAAUUAAUUCCUAGAAUGGCGGACCUGAAUUACUGCAAGGUUGUUGAUCCGACCGCUGUCCCGCGUAUUUUGCGAUGGAGAACUACUACGUCUGUUCCAGAGAUGAGAAAGUUGAACAAUUAUUUUUUCCAGAGCAAAGAGGUUUGGUUUGCAGCCCUUGGAACUAUUGAUAAGAUUGAAUGAAAUUUUGAAGUAGAAUGAUUUAAUAUGACUGUGGUUUGUAUUCUGAAACAGUCAGUUCAGUUGCGGGCGCUAUGUCCGAGUGAAGAGGAAAUGAGACAGCCAUAUUGGAGUUGGCCACAGGAUCGCCCUGAUGAGACAGCCAUAUUGGAGUUGGCCACAGGAUCGCCCUGCUGUUGUCUCGGCAGAGUCAAUUCCUUCUUUAUGUGGUGAUCUUGAUCAGUUGAACAAGGUGGUAAGCUUGUUGAGGUCCGAGUUGUUUCAAGUAAAGCGGGAAAAAGACGUCCUUCACUUAAAGGUCAUACGGAUGGAAAAACUGUUGGACCAAUGUUUAGGUCCUCAGUUUGAGCAGGAAGUAAGGAGGGACCUAGCUUUACUGAAACAGAGGACGAAGCGUUGUGUCGUCUCACAUCUAUUUAGGGGAUAUCGGGAAUUGGAUGACAUUCAAUGGGAUGAAGGGCCAAGUAACAGAAAUGAGGGAGAGGAAAAGGAAGAUGAAGGGAUUGAAGGGGGUGAAGGGCCAAGUAAUAGAAAUGAGGGAGAGGAAAAGGAAGAGGAGGGGAUUGAAGGAGAGGAAAAGGAAGAGGAGGGGAUUGAAGGGGGUGAAGUGCAAGGAAUACCAAGUGAGGUAGAGGAAGGGCAAAGGAAAAGAAGUGAAGGAGAGCAAGUGCAAGUAAAAAGUAGCAAAGGAGAGGAAGCCCAAAGACAGAGCAGUGAGGGAGAGGAAGUGAAAAGAAAAAGCAGUAAGGGAGAGAAACUGCAAAGGAAAAAAAGGGAGGGCAAGGAAGUGAAAACACAAAGAAGUGAGGAAAAGGAAGUGCAAAGAAACCAAUGUGAGAAAGAAGAUAAUGAAGUUAUGUUGCUUGGGGAUGACAUUGGCGAGAGCACGGAGGGGACACUGCUUGAGUUUACUGUCGGGGACAUUGAUUUGGAUCAACCUACAGCUGUGCUAUCUCAGUUGAACGUGUGGUUGAAUGAUAAAGGUAAAGCUGUGGCACAAGGGGUCCAAUUACGGAAAAGGAAGAGGAUCAUUCCUAUGUGGAAGAUCAUUGAAGGCAUUGAAUUGGUUCCAAAAACUGGGGCACAGACAACCGGACUGAAGAUGUUAGACCCAAUGAAGGCGAUUCCGCAUGAUGAUCUGGUGAAUUUGCUGAAACUUUGUUGGGAAUGGCGCCAGGACCCAAAGUAAGUCCCUUGCAAUUAUAAGAUAGAAGCACGACUGUAUAUAAUUUUUAAUAUACAGUGUUCUAAAACUGUUUUAUAUUCAUAGUUUAGUGAUGCAAUUUGGCAACGUGGAAGCUGAGAUUGAAUUCUUCGCUUCCCUCGUGAAAGCUGAUGGUUGGCUGAAAGGAGAUGUAAGUGUAAUUGAUUAUGCAUUUGUUUUAAUGUAUAUAGAUUAUGAGAUUGACAAGAACAACAUGUUGCAGCACAUUGAGUUGGGGUUGUAUCUCAUCCGGAAGCGACAACAACAGUUUGAGGAAGUAGAAAUAGCGGACUGGACAACGACAGAUGUUUUUUUUAUGGUAUGUCAUCGGCCUUGACCAAGUGCCGUUAAUAAUUACACAUUUUCCAUACAGACAAUAGUGGAGGUGUUUAACCAUUGAUUGUUUUGUAUUUCACAGAAUCACAUUCGAACUUGCUUUGCGGAUAAUAAAAGAAAAAAACAGCAGCUUGGGUGGAAAAUCAGAAAAAGUUUACUAAACGUUGUAAAUGGGAAGGUUCCUCCGUGUGGGAUGGAUUGGCAGAACGUCUAUACGGUGUAUACCCCAGUUAUGUUGACGAAGUACAAGCAUUGGGUGGCUGUAAUGAUUGAUCUGGUAUUGUGUGAAAUCAAAGUGUACGAUUCAAAGGUUUCACUAAUUCCAGAUGACAUCGUAAAGGAAGAACUCGCCCCGCUAUCAAUUAUGCUUCCAAAUCUUCUCAACACCAUCGACUUUUAUGAAGAAGGUGUUUAUGCAAACAAUUGCAUGCGAGAUUGGUGGUGUCCGUGGCCAAUAGAGCGUGUGGAUGUUCCACAACAGUCUAAUGAGUAAGCACAACUUGCAAUUUAAUUUUAUUACUUUCAAUUGUCAAUUACGUUAGAAUGUCAUUAGUUGAAUUGAUCGAGUUCUUGUUUUGCUUCAGAGGCGAUUGUGGCAUGUUUGUGUUAAAGUACAUUGAGCUUAUCAGCGCUCAGCUUUCGUUAGCUAUUUGCACCUCGCACAACAUGCCUUUUUUUCGGUUGAAAUUGGCUGCGGAGAUAACAAGGGGAGAUGCUUACUUCCCAUGAUAUUGGUUGAAGAUGACAAAUGGUACAUGAGAAGGUUUUGGGAAUGUCCAUUCUCAAACUAAUGUAAAUACACAAUAGAGACGUACGUGUCCUUUUCGAAUUCUACCGCUAACUCCUUCAUGACAUUUACAUGUUUGUUAACCAAACUGCAUUGAAUUGGAAUUUUAAGACUGCAUAUGUUAAUUGGGAUUUGAAGAUGGCUUUUUAAGUGUAUUACACCAUUGCAAAGUGAUAUGUCAUUGUUGAUGCAAGCCACCAUUAUUCGCAAUGAGUUGCAUCAUAAUAGGUGUGUAAACAUGCGAAAGGUUUUCGGCAGCUCAGUAGCAUAAAAGUAGAAACAAUUACAAUAUACACAAAAUGAACAACAAUUCACUUGCGUUUGGACAAGCAAUACAGACACAACAGACAAACAAUAUACACAAAAUUGGCCUGCCAUAUACAGACAUACACACAGUAGACAUGCAAUAUACACACAGUAGACAUGCAAUAUACACACAAUAGACAUGCAAUAUACACACAAUACACAUGCAAUAUACACACAAUACUCCCUUAACACACACAAUAGACAUGCCCUUGCCCACAAUAAUGAUGCAAUAUACUUCAGUCCCCAAGUACACCAACCAUAAGGAAGUCGUAUUGAAUAGGAUAUUAAACUUAACAGUUGUUCUUCCUACUAAAAGAAAGAAUAACGUCCGUUUCCCCCCUUCAUUCUUACUUCAGUGAUACUUGUGGCCCCAAUAAACAUCCAAUAUUGGGUCAAGGAUAUUCCAUAUACAUGCAGCAAACUAUCAAUAAACCUUCAAUAAACAUUCAAUAUCGGUUCUAUAACAUGCGAAAUACAUGCAGUUAACAAAUAUUACAAAAUGGGUUUAGGGUCUCAUUGGUGGUGCGUGCAACAUGUCUUGUGCGGAAGAACUUUCACAAUCUUUGAAACCAUGCAGUUAAAUGAUCCUUAAAAGAACAAAUAAAAUGACAAUUGAUACAACUAAUAAAACUAAUACCAAGUCCUUAAUGGACUUCAGCAUGUUCAGCACUCUAGCAUCAUACGUGUCAUCUUGAUGUUCUGCUUCAGCGGAGGUUACAUCAACCCAUUCGAAUCCAUUGCAACUGGUGGCUCCCUAAUUGCAGGCAUCAUAUAUGGAAUAUAAUUCUGUUAGAGUUAGACAUGGGUUUAUUUUGACCCACAUACAUAUUAUUGAAAUUAAAACUUACAUAGGAGGUUAGACACUUCCAGAAUGGCUUCCCUCGAUUUUUGUCAGAUUUUGAAACCCGAAGCACCAUUGUAGCUCCACAAUACUGACACCUCUUUGUUUGAGCAGGAGAUGAAGACGAAGACAUGUUGAAUCUUCUCAGUUGUACCUCUUCUCACUCAGAUCUUCUCACUGAAACCUCUUCGGACUCAUACCUUCUCACUCAUCGUUGUCAUUCAUACCCCUUCACUCAUAACCCUAAACUUGUCACUCAGCUCUCUCUCAUCUCUGCCCAAAUCGAGUUAUAUUUCUUUUUUUUGGGAUCAUUUGGUGGGUUGGUCACGAUCUCGACACCCGUACCGUCGGCAUUGCGACAUCUUUUAGCCCGAAAAGCAAUAUAAACUACUUCACUACCAAAUAUAUUUUCUGAAAAAUGAGGGGACACUGCUUCAAAUUUAUUAUUUUAUAUAUAUUUCAUUAAGGCAACUAGUUGGAUAAGAAUCCGUCAUUAUUGGUUCCAUUUGAAUAACAUUACUAGGGGUAGUUGGGUGUGGGAAAAUGAAAAAGUAUAUGAUGGGACCUUCUGUCACUACUCAGUAAUCCAUCACAUUUGUAUCAAUGAAUUUGAUAGUGGGAUAAUCCCACAAAUGGCUAUGCAAAUAGCCAUUUAAUGAACUUUUUGACUGUCUGACUCUGUAUGCACCGUUAUGACGUUUUCCCUUCUUUUGUCUUCAGUUUUAAUUCACUUGGGUUCAGUUUCUUUAAAAAUGGUCAACUUGGAAAAACCCCAACUGGAAACACCUUUUCAAAACACUAUAAACAGAGGCUAAAACAAAACGUGUACCCCAAAUAUUCUCAUUUAUCCCCUCUGCCACUCCUCAAAUCGUUCCAUUCCAAAAACUUUUCAAUGAAUUCGAAACACUUCACUACAGUCGGAGGAAAGAGAAGGAAGCAUCUCCAUUUCGAUAUGCCCGAAGCCUUCAUCCCGGAGUCCGCUUGGUUUCAAGUGAUGUUAUACGUGGCAACCGAAUCAUCGGAAGAUCUCUUCCGUAUGGCAUCUGUGUGCCCAUUGUUCCAAACUUUGGCAAACAGUCCACAAGUGUGGAACACCAUUUCAAUGGCAAAGUACCCACACCAUCCUAGCUGGUACCGUGCCAGACCUGCGGUCCAGCAUUUCUUGCAACAAUGCAGGGCUUGCGAUAACCCUGAGUCGAUAUUUAGAGAAGCAUUCGAUAUUUUUUUCAGGGCCAGUAAGGUGGAAGCGUUGUAUGGGAUGCGCAUUGCAGCCACGGCAGGCCAUAUGGAAGCGGCAUAUGUAGUUGGACUACUUGGUAUAUCCGGAAUUGGUCAGUCAAAAGAGGAUGCAUUACAAUUCUUGUGUUCUUUGAAUCAACGUAACAACAUUGAUAUGAAAGGAACCAGGGAUGCUUUGACACGAAGAUUAACCGGACCAAGAGUUGCAAGACAUAUCGUAGAUAUAUUUGACUAUGGGAAGAUUAAGUUCAAUCGCUGCAGCACUUGUAACAACAAUGAAUGGUAUUUUGUUAUUCAAGGCUGGCCUAGUGAAGACAAGAUAAAUCCUGCCUUCUAGACUUGUUGCAAUCGAUGCAAAUGGCACCGUGAGAGUAUUUUUUGGUUCAAACUGAUGCGUGAGUAUGUUGUGCGAGGGAAUCAUGUAUUUUUGCAUUAGUUUUAGUACGAAUUUACGGUUUUGAUGCAUUGUGGACUUACUUCUCUUCACUUCUAGGUUGGCUGGCUACGUUGUACAAAUGUUGUUUAAAUGUUGUUUAAAUGUUGGUAUUUUGUCAUAAACCGUUUUAUAUAUAAAUGUAUAAUAUUUAUUAUAUAGCGGAAUUAUUACUUACAUCAUAGACGGCUACGAAUGACAUUUUACUGACACAGAUAUUUUGCUCACCCACCCCAAUAUUCAUAUUUGGUAAACGAAAAGUCAUGCAUGGAGUAAAUAGGUGUCUUUUCACCAAUGCUUGGGAAUGACAUUUUCCCACUUAGCAUAUUCGACAGGAUUUGGUUACACGUUUCUUAAGCAAAAGUUGAACAGUGAAUGACGUUGAAUAAUUUGUUUGUGUGGAAGGAGUACAAUGGAUGACUUGUAUAUUUCCAUAUUAUGUUUGAAAACAUCCCUUCAACCUAAAAAAUAAAAAAAUUAACAAAUUGAAGAACAGAGAAACCGAUGAGCACUACAAAUGGCCUAUUCGCACGGAAAAUAAAAUUGUUUUAAACAAGUUGGACUAAAUAUAAUUAACAAAUGGACAGCCUAAAAAGUAAUAUCAUAAUAAUUAUAAUAAUUGUGGAUUAAUAAUAAUAAAAUACUAAUGUAGCAUAACCAUGAAACAGGGAAUUCAGUAGGAAGAUGAAAUCUCAAUAAGUUCGUUGAAAUGUUCGGAUCGUUUUUCUAAUUUUUGUGUAUUUAGUUCUGAAUUUUCCAAGAAAAAAAGUAAUUAAAUAAUAAUUUAGGGUAAAAUGGGAUGAUGUGGCCAUGUUGACUGACGUACACUUGUGCAAGUACUCAUAAGUGAGGGGCUGAGAUCGCGCCAGGUGUCUUCUUGGAAUUAGGGUUGGCUAUUUUAGUGGAAAAAUCCUUGAAAAUAGGUAAAAAAUAGUAGGAAAUUCCUAUUCUAGGUUGGGAAAAUUACCCGCGCCUCCUUGUGACGUCAUAAAACUAGGAGAACCUAUAAAUCAUCCGUCUCGCAAUGAAAUAAUCCAAAAUGUUUUACAUAACUCACUUCCCUCUUUACCCUAAGUAUUGAUGUUUGUUAACUUGAACUUCAAUAACCUACUUCAACAAGCAUCUCCCGUUAAUGUUGGGAAUAAUUGUCUAAAAUGCGUAACAAUGAAUCGGAGAAUUCAGCAAGGGAGAUGGAGUGUCAAUGAGUUCGUAGCAAUUUUCGGAAAUAAUUUUGAAUUUUUGUGUAUUUAGUUAUGAAUUUUGUAAGACAAAGUAAUAAAAUAAUAAUUUAGGGUAAAAUGGGAGGAUGUGGCCAUGUUGACUGACGUACACUUGUGCAAGUAGUCAAAAGUGCCGGGCUGAGAUCGCGCCAGGUGUCAUCUUCUUUUCAAUUUUGGAUUCUUUUGUUAAAAAAUCUUUGAAACUAAGUAAUAAAUAGUAGGAAAAUCCUAAAAAUGCCCCCAAAAUUACUCCGGCCUACUUGUGACGUCAUAAAACUAGGAGAACCUAUAAAUCAUUCGUCUCGCAAUGAAAUAAUCCAAAUUGUUUUACAUAACUCACUUUCCUCUUAACCCUAAGUAUUGAUGUUUGUUAACUUAAACUUGAAUAACCUACUUCAACAAGCAUCUCCCGUUGAUGUUCGGAAUUAUUUUUAAAAAUGCGUAACAAUGAAUCGGAGAAUUCAGCAAGGGAGAUGGAGUGUGAAUGAGUUCGUAGCAAUUUUCGGAUAAUUUUUUUAAUUUUUGUGUAAUUAGUUCUGAUUUUUGUAAGGAAAAGUAAUAAAAUAAUAAUUUAGGGUAAAAAGGGAGGAUGUGGCCAUAUUGACUGACGUACACUUGUGCAAGUAGUCAUAAGUGACGGGCUGAGAUCGCGCCAGGUGUCCUCUUGCUAUUAUUUUGGCUUUUUUAGUGCAACAAUCUGUGGACAUAGGUAAUAAAUUCUACGAAAAUCCAAAAAAUGCCCGGAAAAUGAGAAAAUGAAAAUUAUUUGUACAUAACUCACUUUCCUCUUAACCCUAAUUCACGUGUAACACGUAUAUUUCGGAUAAUAUUCGAUAUAUAAUUUGUAAUAAUACAAUAUUUAGUUUCACUAUAUACAAUAAUAUGUUUUGUUAUAAUAAUGUACAUAAAUAAUAAUUGCACAUGCUUUGAAGCCAUCAUUGCAACUACGCCUAGAGCUUUCAAGACGUCAGUUCGUAUUCAAUAAGUUGUCCACAUGCAAGUGCACCUACAGUUUUCAACACGUCAGAGGUAUUCAAUAAGUUGUCCACAUGCAACUGCACCUAGAGUUAUUAACACGUCAGAGGUAUUCAAUAAGUUGUCCAUAUGACGCCGCAUUGGGAAUCAGUAAUAUAUUUUCAAUCAUGUCCAAUCACAUAAAAUAAUGGCAUACUUUUUCUCAAUAACCUCACACAAGUGAAGCAAUUUUAAAACCCUUACUGAAUAUUUGUCCUAGUCUAUAUGAGUGAUUAUAUAAUCAGUCUGCAUUUUUUUCACAGUAUAUGUUAACUUUGAGAGGGAUUCCACAAACAUAAAAUAUAAAGAAAGCAAGAAAUAGUAGGAGAUGAACCAGUAGAAAAAACAAUAUAUAAAUGGUACAUAAUAAUUCCAUAACCUUGUCACAAACGCACUCACAAAAGCUUUUCCAUAAACCUUGUCCUAACAUAUAAUAAAUAAAGGCAACAUUGCAUAUGAUGCAACCAUGUCCAAAUCUGAUACGUGAUCAAAAACAAAUGGACAUGGCAGCAACAUAUGACUGAAGUAGAUGGGCUCUUUGCAUCUUGUGUUUUCGUAAUUAAAGACAUCAAAAUAUUAAGGUUUAAAUCUUCCAUAGUAGUUAGCAUCAAAAUAGCUUUGAAGCAGAGUGUAAAGAAAAUUCCAAUUCCACUGAUUUGCCUCUGCUCAAACACGAGAACCAAAAUGGUUACUUCCCUUGCUGAGUAUAUUUGGUGACGUCGGAAACGGUAAUAGAUGAUCAAUCAAACCCAGGUACGACGAGUUUUGCAUAGGAUCGGAAGUAGUCGAAUCCAGCUUGCAUCACACGCUUCUUUGACUCCACUGCAUUAGAUGAGUUCUUGUAUUUUUGAACAGCUACACUCCGAAGUCGUUUGUGUCUACGCUUCAUGCGCUGCAACUUCACCCUAUCCAGAUUGGCCUGCCUUUUGUCAUCUUCAAUUUGGCCUUCAACAAAUUCCAAACGUGCCCUUGCCCUUUGGAUUUCAUCACCAAGUUGAAGAUGCCUCUCCUUCCAAAAAGCAACAACUCUUUCAGACUCAAAACUUCCAACAAAAUGGUCAUUCUGUCUAGGAAUGUGACAUUGCUUGUCUGGUGACUCACUUGCGUGUCGAAGGCGGUCUUUGUUUGGAGGGGUGUUUAUUAUGCUCACAUCAAACUUGGUUAGUAAAUCCAUUCUUUGGGGGGAAUGAGUUUGUUUGCUUGAGAGAGUAUCAGUAGAUGGAGACAGAUUCGGUGGAGGAGUGAGUUUUGUGUGGAAGGAGAAUUUAUAUGAAAGGGGUGAUAGUAAUACCAAGAAAAGGGUUCCCGCCAAAAAAUAUUUGGUUGAGAAUGUAUAAAUUAAUUUUUGGUCUGAUACAAUCUAAGUUGAAUCCUAACUAGUUUGGUUGAGUUAACUAAGUAGAUGUCACUUCCAUUGAGUUUCUUUCAACCACUAUCAGUGGUGUCAGGAGAGUGUGAGGUUGACAUGCUUGAAAAGCAAAACCUGACACCUAUUUUUAAAAAAUUCCAUAAAAAAAGUACAUAUGUUGACUACACACAAGCUUUGGUAUGUUGGUCUAUAAACCUAUGUUCCCUUUCUCAAACGAAAUUGCAUAUGCAAUCCUCAUCCUCCCAAAACAAAGAGGAUUAUUCAAGCAUGUCAACCUCUUCAGGCGCCAACAACACAAUCGAAGAUGACAAAUUGGAGUCGCAGGUUCUAUUUCCACAUUGUACUCGCCGACCCCUUCCUUUUUCAACAUCAUUUGGGAGUGAGGGGGACUCCGAUGAUCCAUUAGAGGCAAUACAUGCAGUCAGUGGCAAGCUGGAUUAUAAUUCCAGACUGAUCAAUUCAUGGCACGAGAAAUGUGUUGAAGACGAGGCAAUUUUGGCUGAUCUUAACAUUAGAGUGAACAAAGCGUUCUCCCAAAAGAACAAGUACUUGAAGCUGAGUCAUAGCAGGAAGCUGAAAGCUGAGGAGUUGGAUACAGUAAUGAAUGAUGAAAUGAAAGGUUGUUUGCUGAACCACAUGCGAUGCGAAGAGCACCAUAGUGAACUGGAGUUGGCAUUCAACGAAGGAUUCGACAAAUUUCGAGCAUUUGCGGCAACUACUCAUACAAGUUAUGAUUGGAACUAUGUGUCCCCUGAUGCUGUGAGAGAGAUACUAGACGAUGGGGGUGACAUGAAUGAGCAUAAGCACGUCAAAGCUGCUCGGAAGAAGCCGACCGAUACGACUAAGUGAUUGCGGCUACCGCUGUUCAGUUGGUUGAGGGUGACCGUGGUAUUGCACAUAUACUCCCUUAAUGUCAUUAUCUAAUUUCAAAUAACACAAAUAUCAGUUUCAUUUGCUUCAUAUAUAAUUAUUGGGACUAUGUAUUGCAAGUCAUCAUGUGUUAUAAUGUCUAACAUUAUAUUUUGCAAAUAUGGAAAUAUUAUUCAAUAAGCAGUCAAUAUCACAGCAAGCCGGGAAUCAGUAAAUGCUCCUUAUCAUGUCCAUUUACAUUAAAGAGCUGGCGUACUAAUGUGUUCAAAAAAAACUGAGACGUGAGUCAUAAGUAACAUAACAUGUGCUAUACAUUGUUUACUGAAUGGUUUAUGGUUUAUUUUUAUAUAAUAAAAUUCCAAAUAUUGCUGAAGAUUUAUUUCGUCUAUAUGACUAGGGAUAUGAGUGGCCAUAAGCAUGUGAGACCUGCUAAGAAGAAGCUGACGAGUACGACCGAGUGAUUGUGGCUACCGUUGUUCAGUUGGUUGGGGAGAUCGUGGUAUUGCUAAGAGGGAGCACAUAAUAUGUUUUGCAAUCAAAUGUUCUUUUGUGUGUGGAAUUAUGAGUAUUUAUGUAAGUUAGUGUACCCUUUAAUAUUUUUCACCUAAGUAUCGAAAUGUAAUUAGCUGCAAUGUUAUGUUUCAUUUUUACACGCUGCUUUCUAUUUGCUCUGUUCCAACAAAGUGCUUCAAGUAUCCUUCAGUUACAAAAGUGUACAAAAUCGUGCCCCUAAUAACCAGUCGUCAAAAGUGGCUACUGCUGGAAAUGAUUACUGGUAAUGGAAACAACAGCUGGCUGCUGGAAAUGCUGCAUUAGCCUGAGGAUUUGAAAAAUGAAUCUCUGUUAAAACAUAAUUCACCCUAAACUGCCCAUUUUACAUGGUAAAGGUCAUUGCUUCUUCACAUAACUACAAAUUUCAUACUUGAUCAAAUGUCUAUGAAAAUUUAUAAAUAGGGAGAAGACGUAAAAUUAACAUGUCUCCAAAUUUCAUGGAAGAAUGAAACCAAGGAAAUUUUCAUUUCAAUUACCAGUGGACAUAGUAAGAGCUCAUCGGUGGACAUGAACAAAAACACAAUAAUAUUCAAAAACUGAAUCUAUAAAACUUCACCUGAUCAUUAAUCUUCAUAACAACCACAUUUCGUCUAAUACAAAUAUAAAUCAUUUAGUUGGUCCGUGCAUCCUGUCAAAAUCGUCGAAUAAUGGGUCACUACGAUGUAUUGGAGUUGAUUCGUCAUUGUUCGACGGUGAUGUCCUGCAUAAACAUCAAACACAAGCACAUAAAAAUUUUACCUUUUCAUAUUUUAGAUGUUAUUACAACUAGUGUUAGCAUCUUACGGUGUGUUCAAGGCUGGGCAUUGUCUUCUAUCAUGACCAAUGUGUCCACACUCCCGACAGUGUCUAAUCCCUCGCUUCAUUGCCUUUUCCUUUGCUCCCGUUACUCCUUUCGACCUUCCUUUGCACCUCACUCUCUUAGGGUCUUUCAUAUAUUGUGUUUGAGAGCUGGACCCUCCAACUUCGUUAUUACUUAGUCCAUCCUUCAGCAACUUUAACUUCACCUGCAAACUUUUUAGAGUCUCUGACAGUAGCUCACAUCCUUCUUCACUCAUUAAUGCAUCCUCAACCACAUCUGAAGCAAGUCGAGACAUUGUACUCCGCUUUAUUAGAAGGCCAGGAUCUGCACAGUCUUUAAUUUCGUUGCCAUUUGCAUCUGACACCAUUCCAGAUUUCGCAGUUUUCUUCCACCUCUUCAAAAUAUAUUUAUCGGGCAUAUAUUCAAUCUGGUCCCUUCUGAACAAUGCUAGGAUGUGCUUGCAAAUAAUUCCAACAAAUUCAAAUCUUUUGCAGCUACACGAUGCGUGGUCAGAAUCUUUGACAUAUACGACUUCUGCCACUCUUGUUUCCCAAUUUUUCCUUUCGCUCACGUUAAAGACAACUUUACAAGCAUCCUCUGUUUUGAGCUCUAGGAAACAUGCUGUACUUUGUAUUAGUUCUUGCUCAAACUUUUGAAACAUUGUCCUUGUGUACAAGGUAGCCAUUUGUUUGUUCAUUGGCAUCGGUAGAAGACAUUGAGCCACUUCAAAUGCAUCUACGUGAUCAGCAACUAACUCUUUUUCACGUUGAUGAGAAAGUGCCCUCUCAAAUCGUAUUAUGAAAUCCAUCAACGAAUUUCUCCUUGAUAUGUAUUGCUUGAAAAAACCAUGAGAACCUUCCGCUCUUUGGCUGCUUGACAUUCCAGCGGCAAAAAAUUGUCGUGCGUAGGCUGGAACCCAAGAUUCCCUUAAAUCAAACAUUGAACUUAGCCAUGGAUGGUCGGUCAAACCAGCCUUUGUAACCACAAUAUUCCAUUUUGCAUCAAACUCAUCCUUAUUGUCAGUAUCCCAUAUGGCUUUCUGAAAUUCACGCCAAUACUCCUUAUAAGCGUCACGUGGUAACUUAACAGAGAACUUUGAUGUGAUGUGCCAUAUGCAAAGUCGAUGAAAUGUACUCGGGAAGGCUAUUGAAAUCGCUAUGGCCAUUGCCGCAUCUUGAUCUGUAAUGAUCGUUUUAGGUUCCCCACCUGGCAUGGCUUUCUUAAACUCCUCAAACAUCCAAACAAACGACUCAGUCGUUUCCUUGCUCAAAAAUGCACAUGCUAAGACAAUUGUUUGACCAUGGUUAUUAACUCCCAACAUUGGUGCAAAUGUCAAGUCGUAUCGAUUCGUGUUGAAUGUGGUAUCGAAUACAACAACAUCUCCAUAAAACCCAUACGCCCGUCUAGAAGUUGCAUCUGCCCAAAAACAUCGACUAAACCUGUCAUGCCCAUCUCCCUCAAUCUUGAAAUAAAAAGCCUCAUUUUUUUUCUGUUCAGCCAUAAAAUACUCGGUCACUAGUUCAACAUCGUGGUUCCUCAGCUUCCCAUUCACACUACAUUCAAGAUUGUAGAUAUCUUUUUUGAUAAAACCGAUUUUAUCCAUUCCUCCGGAUUGCACCUUGAAAAUACUUACCUUAUGAUGAAUGGGAAUAUUAACUGAACCCAACUGUUUUGUGAGUACUUUGUAGAAUCUGAAAUAUGACGGUGUGAUCUCAAUAAAUGCAUUCUUUCUGAGGGUGUCAUCUUAUGAUUGUGUCCCUCUGCAAAAAGAGAUAUGGUAUACUUCUUGCUCCCAUUUGUCUUCACAACCACAAUCUUAGCUUUGCAAUUGCAUCUACUUAUUCCCCGUUGUCUUUUUCUCUCCCGAGUUUCAUCCUUCCUGUAUGCACCUUGUUUGCAACAUACAAAUUCUUUCCUCAAAAUCUCUUUCUUAUUUUUCCCCCAAAAGCUAGAAUGAAGUCGAAUACCAAAGCCAGCAAAGAAUGCAUAUCUAUUAUAGAAAUUGUAAACGAGGUCAAGCGAGUCAAACUUCAUCCCAACUGCUGGUGUUUCCUCAUUUCUUACUUCAGGAAUAUAAACCCUCCCAUUAGCUGUUGCACAUUCAUCACUCUCUGAGCCCCCAGACAUUUUAUCUACGUAUAUUAUUGAUCCACUUCUAUAUUACUGCAUAGCAAUUAUUCAUUCAUUAAUCAGUCAUUACUGCAUCACAACAUAUCAAUGCAUUCCACUUACACAAAACAUUGCCCAAAUUGACACAAAAUACGCAUAGCCUAACUUCCGAUUACACAAAACGCAAGCAAAAUUUCAUAAAAGUUACGUCAUCUCUUGUGAAAUAAUCUGGUCAAAAUAACAUUAGAACCAACAUGUUCAACUAAGAACACAAAUGUAAUUCAAACCACCAAUUACAGAACUUCACCCAAUAUCCUCUCCAACUGCUUACUCCUAAUGUCAUUAAGCCUAAGUUUAGGUUCUUUUACCUACAUUUCAUAAUUUUCCACCCCGACCAACAACAAUGAACUAAGAAUAUUGAAUAUUCAUAAGGAAAUGACACAUUAUUGAUGCCACAAAUGACGAAUUUCCCACCCUCACAAAAGAUAAACCUAACCCAAUAAAAUCAAUCCAGCAAGUGAACUUACCUCUCAAAAUCAAUCGGGAGCUCUGAAGUCAGUCAGCUUGAAAGAAUGUGGUGGACAUUACAGAAGACUCUUUGGUAUUUGAGACUCCAUCUCUACCAAAAUCGAGGAACAACUGCUGCUGCGGCUUCUAGCUACAAAAACAGAUAUGCUACUUUGCUUUCAUCUGGAAUCUUGUCAGCUGAAUGAAAAAGAGAAGGGGUUUUCACUUGAGCCAUAGAAUCAAAACAGGGCAACAGCUAGGUAAGAGCCAUUCUUCGUAAUACCCAGGAUACCAUAGAUCGCAGGCCUCCCAACGAGCUAAUGACAGUCGAGUGACUAUAAGGUUUGGGAGAUUUGGAUCCUUCUAAUUGUGGGUUUGCUUUACAUUCAAAAAGAAAGGAUUGUGUUCUUCAGUUUUUCACAGAGAGGGAAAGAGGGGAACAACUGAAGUUGGGUUUCUAACGGGUUAGAUUUCAACCCGAUUCUACAUGCACCCUCUUUUAAAAACUCACCGUUGGAUGAAAUCCAACGGCUCUUACAUGCCCCUCAAAAACACCCCUUAUAACUUCCCACUCACUAUAGAAGCUCCCCUGUUUGUGUUGUUGAAUUGGGUCUUUUAGUUGUUUUUGUAAACUCUGAUUUAAGUCUAGUUUGGUAUUGCUGUACUUUUAAAAAAAACUACUUCCGCUGUGCUGCUAGAAUACUCAGCUGUAAAAAAAAUUAGUUAUGCUUUUGGUAAACUAUAUUUGAAAAAGUGCUGUGAGUAAUCCAAAUGUUUGGUAAAUGACCAAAAAAAAGUGCUUUUAAUACGUACAAUGACUAAAAAGGACAUGAUGAUGGAACUAUUUGAUUUUUUCUUCAUUCUUUUUCUACUUAAAAAAAACUUCACUACAUAAUUUUUUUUUCUUUUUUUAUUUAUACUAUACACGUGUUCCUCUCUUCUCAAAAAAGUAAAUGCCUUUUGUUAUGUAUUGAAUGCUAACCCAACGACACCAAUUGGAAACCCAACACAGCCCAUCUCUCCACUUCAAUUUUUCUCUUUCUACCAUUUACAAGUUUUUUUUCUUCAUUCCUUCGUCUAACCAAAAAUAUCUCAUGUUUCCCCCAAUUAGUUUUAGUACUUUUGGGUAGGUGAGACUGAAAAGGGGAAAAAUUGUAUGUUGGGUUUAUGUUUUGGUGUUCUUGCAAUGGGAGAUAACAUAGUGGAGAAAGUAGCCAUGGUGAAAAUACAGAUUUCUGGGUUGCAGCCAUGGAGAUUUGAGCUGAUUUACAGUGCUGUAGUGGGGGUAGUUGAAGCCCCCCCAAAGUUGGGACUACUGCAACAGGAUCUUUCCACCCAAAACCAAAAACAAGAACAACAAACUCAGGUGGAACAUGAAACUCAUCACUCUCUCUCUUCCUUCGACUCGGGUUUUCUCUCUUCUUCCUCAAACCUGCGACAAAUAGAAAAACCCCCAAUUUAACAGAGAAAACUCUAGAUGCAGAAAGUUUGAGAAGUAGAAAACCAAAAAACCAUAAUUGUAAUUAAGUUAUUGAUGAAUGGGCAACCUUCUUAGCAAUUAAUUUUUUGAUGUCCACAAUGAGAGUUCCAGCAGCGUCAGAGAGUAGAGAAGGAAAUGAAGGAAAUAGAGUUCACAGAAUGGAGAAGAAAAAAGGGGCAAAAGACCGUCAAUUUGUAAAAUAAGUGAGGGUAUUACGGGAAAGUUAAAAGUUCAUUAAAACAACCGGUUAAAUUUUUUUUGAAGCAGCUUUUAAAAGCUUGGUAGAGACGGCUUCGAAAAAACAGCGAUCAUUGACUGCGAUUUUAAAAAAAAGCAGGAUUCCUGAUGUUUUCCAAACACCCAACUCAUGAAAUUUUUUUAUUAAAGCUGCUUUUUAAGAAAAUUAAACGCUGCCAAACACCACCUUAACCAUUUUCUUUGCGUGUGCCAAAUUUAUAAUUUUGACCAGUGUCAUGCAGGAAAAUGUUUCAUGCUUUGUUAACAGGGGGCUUUCGAUGAGUAUUUUAUUUAGAUGAAAAGUGAUUCAUUCCUUUCCUUUAUGGAUUCAUCUUGUUAGGUUGAUCUAUUGAAGAAUGAGCUUGGAUUUGAUGAGGCUUUUAACUAUAAAGAAGAGGCUGACUUGAAUGCGGCUUUCAAAAGGUGCAUAUGAGUAAUGAUAGAGAGAUUACAUUUAUAAACCCUAGCGGACCAUGAAUAUAAUGAGUCUUAAAUCUAUUAGACAAUUGGUUAGUUGACAGGUGGUAUACAAAGCAGUCUACAAAUGUGAUCUCCCUAUCAUUUUCCGUAAAAUACAUAUUUAUUAUGUUAUACUAGUUUCCUUUAGUAAGAAAAGAAAGGAAAAAAACUAUUAUUAAGAAUUUGUGUGUUGUUAGGGUUCAUCAUUGGGCUGGGCCAACUCAAAAAUUUUGGGUUCGAGCCGAGCCCUCAUGGGCCGAAAUGGGCCAGACUUUUUGUUAAAAAGUCUUUUCAAUCUUUUUGUUACACAUUUCGUUUUUUCAAAAGUGAUGGAUAUAGAGUAUUCUCUUAAACAAUAGUAUAGAUUACUACAUAAUUUAAGAAAACAAAAAUAUAAUAGCCAAACUUUUUUACUAAACCUAGACCAAUAACCAAUAUAUUUAAAAAAUAUUAUACCUAAAAAUGAAUCUUAUGAUGUGCAAUUUGUGCCUUAAUUAACUUAUAUCCCAAAUUAGGAUUGACAUCAUGAAAAUUAAAGCAAUUUGUGCCUUUAAAAUUAAUAAACCCAGAAUAAGCUUUCAAAUUCUUUAUUGAACCGUUAAAUUUGAACUUGACAAAAAAGGGGCACUAAGAGAUAUAGUGCAUAUAUUGCUUGUUUGUUACAAAAUUUUAGACAACAUUGAAAAAAUUAACUUAAUUUAUAACAUGUGUAAACAAAAUAAAAAGUUUAUUAGUUUAUCAUACAUAUUACAUUAUUUUGAUUAAGUAUAAAAUGAGGUUAGGGAAUGCAUCAAUUAAUCUUAAAAAAAUGAAAAGCAUAAGCGGGCGGGCCGAGCGGGCCUAACCAUCUUGCUAGGCUGGACUUUGACCCAUCAAGCCUCGGACUACCCACUUCGGAGCCGCGGGCCAAAUGAUGAUCCCUAUAUGUUGUAUAUGAUGCUUUGAAGCUUGAGCUUUCUUGAGUGAAGGAUAAAUUUUCUUUGUAAUUACCAUACACUUGCCAGGUAUUUCCCUGAAGGCAUUGAUAUUUACUUUGAGAAUGUUGGAGGCAAAACGCUAGACGCAGUGCUCCUCAACAUGAGAGUCCAUGGCCGCAUUGCUGUAUGUGGAAUGAUCUCACAGUACAAUCUUGAUCAAGCAGAAGGGGUAACAAAUUUGAUGCACCUUGUGUAAAAACGUAUCCGCCUCCAUGGAUUUUCGGUAAGAGAUCACUAUCACAUCCAUCCGAAAUUCGUGGAGUUUAUGCUGCCUUACAUUAGGCAAGGAAAGAUUGUUUAUGUGGAAGACAUAGUUGAAGGCCUUGAGAGUGGUCCAAGAGCGCUGGUUGGACUUUUUAAGGGUCUUAACUUUGGAAAACAAGUAGUUGACGUCUCUGCAUGAAUAAGUUGUUUUGUCAAUCGAUUUGGUGUGCUUGUGUUUCUAACCACUAUAACUUUGUUAAGUGGCUCUUUGGUUUUAUUUUUAUGUUUUUGGAUCCUUUUUGGGAUUGCAUAUGUUAAGUGGUGCACUUUGUCAUACAGAAGAUAUUCAUCAAUAAUAAGGGCUAAUUCAGGAUUGUUGUCACUUUUAAAAAAAGAUGCUUCUGUUGUGUUUUGGAAAUAAUAAGCUGUAAAGUAGUUCCAUGCGUGUUAAACAAUAUUUUUAAAGUGUUGUUAGUAUAAAAAGUUAUGUCAAAACCGUUUGGUAAAUUUUGAUAUAAAACUAGUAACUGUUGAUAAUGACUAAAACAUACAUGAUAUGUCGAAAGUGUUACGUGGUAACCAUAUGGUGGUGGUGGCGGUGGUGGUAUAGGUGGAGGUUGAGUUGGUGGUGGUGGUGGAGGUGGAGGUGGUGGUGAGGCGUGCUACGGGCACCAACUUAAAUACUAAUUUAAUGAUACCAACCUAUGUGGCAUAUGACAUGACAAUUUAUGUCAUAUGCCACAUCAUUUUUUUUAUUAGUUAAGUUUUAACAAUUUUUUGUCAGAAUUAACUUAAUUAUUUAGUUUUAAAUAAAUAAAUUCUGCUCCACGCCUCCCUUCCUUCUCGGAUCUACUACCAUGGCCUCCUUCCUCCCCAACUUGUAUGCCCUUAUUAUUACGCACAUUGAAUUUGGCUUUCGGGGUGUGACAUAUUUUUACCAAUCCCAUGAAGCUUUUCUUAUCUUUGAAUGCUUGAGUGCUAACCAUUGUGUGUUUCCCUUGCUUUAGGAAGAUUGCCUCACUCAGCAAGAAUGCAUGGUGAGGUGUUUGUGAAUGGUGCAAAAUCGGUACAUGUACAUGGCCACGACACCGAUAUAUAAAUGAGAAGAGAAUUCCUUGGUCAGUAUCAAUAUUGCGAAACUGUUGCAGCAUUGAAGGGUUGUGUGAACUCCUCGAUUUCAAGCGAAGUCGAAUAUUGCUUGAUGUGGAAGAUGGCUCAAACUAAUAAAAAUGAGGAAAACGGAUCAUACCAACAAAAAUAUGGCAGAUGGCCAGAAUCAAUAUAACCGUGGUCAGAUUUGGGAAGUGAGGCCAUGGCAGAUUCGGAGAGGGAGGGAGGCCAUGGCAGAUCUAUAAAGGAAUGGAGAAACAGAUCACACCUCUUCCCUUCUCCUCAUACCACAACUCAUCAUACACACCCAAUCGAUUUUGAAAUAUUACAUAAAAGUUGUGAUGGCGCUGGAACUGCAGAUUCAGAACGUUUUUUAUAUGCUUCCCACAAGCAGUCAGACAAACCCUUAGAGGACGAGUGACAUCAUUACCUUCUCAACUUACCAAAGAAAGAACUCCUUCCGAAGUGGUAACCACUUGCCGAUGCUCCCAACUACAGAACCAAGUUUCCAUGGACACGUGUCACCUCCACAAUAGUUUGCACAAAGUCCGACAUUGAAACUUUGUGCAAAACUCCCAUUUUCAGGGAACAGUACCUAAGGAAAAGGGGUAACUACUUUUCACAUUUACUGUUACUCUGCCAAAAUUACCACAUAUACUCGCUGACUUAAGUAUUGGAGAGUCUUCGGCAGGUACCACACCAGUGUCCGAAGCUUGACGAUCCCUUCUUCCUUGUUUUCUUAUGCAAGAUCCCUCCAUACCGAAGGUCCACAACCUUCUCCCUUGCUGAAGAUUUAACACUCCUUUAUCUAAGUUAACCCUCCGAAAAAGAGCAUCAACACGCGCAGCACUCAUUAUCUUUCAACAAUCUGAUUAUCUUAUACUAGUUAAUUUAUGGGUUGUUUGAUAACAAUUUCAAUUUUAAUUUUUAGUUUUCAUUUUCAUUUUUUUUGAAAACUGAAAACAUGUUUGGUAUUAGAUUUCGUUUUCAAAUUAAAAAAAAAGUGAAAUCUAGUUUUCAAAAUCACCUUUUUUUUAAAAAACAACUUGGAAGUGUUUUAUGUUUUUUUUUUAUGUUUUUUUUUUUUUUUUUUUUUUUUUUGUGCACUAUUGUUUGUUGGAGUGUUAGUUGACUUUCUUUGCACACCAAGGUUUCCCAUAUUAACUCAUGCAUAGAUUGGAAUUGAUUUCCUACUCUAAAUAGUAUUAGAAGUUAUUAAUUACCUUACUUAGCCUUCAAGGAAUAUUGUAUUAUAAAUAUGGCCUUCUACAAGGAGAAGAAUACACAGAAAAUUCUCACCACAAUUACUCUUUCGUAAUUUUAGCAUUAUUUCAUUCAUAAGUUUCACAUCACCACACAUGAAAUGCACUCCGGUUACCAAAAGUCGGUAUUUGGGACCUCCCAACUUGGACUUGGUCGCUCAAUUCGUGCUUUUGGCCACAAUCCCAAUCCAAACCUCGUCAACUCCAUGUCCAAAGGUCACUAAAAAAUAAUCAUAAUUUUAAAAAAUUCACCAAAAAAUAUUACGAAUUUUUUGUCAUUCCUGCUUUAACUUUACCUUUUGUUUUCAAAUGUUGACCCGUCCCAACCCAACUCUCAAUGCUCGAAGGGUUCUUUCGUGUAGUUAAGAGUUGGGUUUUCCAAGGUAGGUCUAUAUUGAUUCGAACAACUUUGCGGUAUAUCUGUGGGUAAGAUACUGUUCUCAAAGUAGUAAAGGCUGAACUAAAAGGCUAAAUGGGAAAAUGAAUACUUUCUUUUCUCUUCCUCAAGAAACAUACAUCCUCACCACAAGAGAGGGAGAGUUGCUUGGUAUUUUGUUAAAUAAAAUAAAAUAAUUAAUAAUUGAAAAUAGAAAAUGUUUGAAAAGGAUAUUGGGAAUAAAGAGAGAAGAUGCGGGUGUGAGUAAAAUAACAAUAAAAGAAAAUUAAAUCAAAAAUAAAAAAAUAAAAAAAUAAUUAAGUUUUGGGGAGUAGAAAUCGGGAUGGAGGGGGGAGAGAGAGGUUUUUUUUUAAAAAUUUUUUAUUCGUAUUUUAAUCAAUUUUGAUAUUGUUGAGGCCCAAAAAAGUUACGGGAAGCCCAAAGACAUUUAAAGCCCAAUAUAACAUAUAUUCUCAGUCAUGCGUUAAUCCAAGCUGUAAUUCGGAUUUAAUUCAUUAAAUAAAUAUAAAAUAGUGUACAUGUCAUGCUAAACUAAUAAUACAUUUUCCCCAUGCUAAUCACCUAUCAAGCUCACAUGAACCCAAGUCAUGUGAUUUACGGGCUUGCAUGAGGGAUUGUGGUGUGGAAGGUUACGGAGGUCCACAAGGCCCACGGAAGCUCUUGGAUAACAGAGACUUUGGGCUAGCUACUUGAGAGCACCAAAGUCCAAGCCCAUUACUUAGAGUUCUCCAAUGUGGGUGAGCAAAUGAGACAUUUUUCAAGCACUGCCUUUUACCUAUAGGAAAUAGUCAUUUUCCAAAUACCAAGCUUUACCCGUUGGAAACAAGCAUUUUCCAGCACUUCCUAUUACCCAUUGGAAACAAGCAGUUUCCAGUGCUUCCUUUUACCAAUAGGAAAAAAUCUGUUUAUGAUACCUAGCUUUACCUAUUGGAAAAUAGCAUGUCCUAGUCCUCCCUUUUAACCAUUAGAAAUAGGUUGGUUCCAAUACCUCCCUUUACCUAUUGGAAAUAAAGGAAAACCCUCACCCUCUAUAAAUUGGCACUCAUGGCUCAAGCAAAAGGCACCAAUUUUUCUUCAGCCAAUACUUCCUCACUCGGCUACUGCAAGCAUCCCAGCAGCCACCAACCCCCAUAAAGCAUCACCUAGCUCCAAGCUUUUCCUUCCUUCCAAGCUUUAAACACCAUAGCCUUUAAACCUCAAGCUUUUCCUUCCAUCCUCCUUCUCUUGAAACUCUUAAAUCCCCAUAGCCAUAGCCACACACAACAAAUUAUCAACACCAAACUCAAACAUAUCCAACACCAAGCCAAGCACAUGCAUUCUCAUUUGCUAAACUUGUGGGUCUUUAGCUCCUACACUCCAAGCUCUCAUGCUAAGCUCACAUAAUCUCAUACCAACAUCAGCAAGUCAUCUUCAACUCUUCGUCGAGCUGCCGAAAACAUCAACACAAAACAUGCAGCCGUUGGAAGAAGAACAAAGUACUCUCCCGGGACUUGCUUUUCCCUUGGGACACUUUGGGCCUAGUUCUCGCUAACUCAGAUAAAGGAACAACGAAGUCUUCAUUCAUCACUCUAUGGCGACCCAAGAAUCAACAAAGCCCGGAUGAGCCUUCGAACGAAAGUGACCACAUGCAAAGCUCAAGCUUCAAUAGCCAAGCCCAAGCUUUUGGUUCCUAAAAACAUGCUUACGACAGCUGCAACAAACAAUACCUAAGUCACCAUAAGUGAUAUGCCCCAGCGUCUCAAGCACUUUCUAUGCCCUGACAAUUCUAAUGAUCAAGUUUUAGAGUCAAACCAAAAGGCCAUUGGGAUGUCUCAAUUGCCACAAUUCCAUAAUCAAUCAUCAUCAAGCCUCAAGCCUUAUUCAAGAAAUCCAAGCACUAUUCUUUACUCAAGAAGGAAAACAUCUCAGUUCGUGGCAAAUAGAAGGAAAAUACUACGAAGGUACCGGAAGAACCUAAACACUGUCAAGAUGAAGUUUCCUUUACCAAGCAAUCAAAAUUUUUGAAGUGAUGUCAAGCUAUCAAGAAAAAGAGUAAAGUCACUAUGCAACACAACAACCAAAAUAUGCUUGUAGUAACCAAGAUUCAAGCCAAGCAAAAUGUGGAAGAUAAUGAUGCGUUGUAUGAAAUGCUCCUGGAAGAUAACACAAGCCCUAUAGUCAUGCUGCCGGAAGAGUGAACCAUCAUGCCACUAAAUUUGAAAGAGGAGCCCCAUAUCUGAGUACUGGAAGGCAGCGCAGUGGACUCCAAAACUAAGAUCUAGUCCAAGUGACUUAAGGCCUCCAUAUUGCAAUGCUUAUUUGCCAACACCUAUACCGCUUUCAAGCUACUGCAGACACUAUCAUGCUCAAAUCCUUAAGCAUCUCCCAUUGUAUUUUCAUCUUCUAAUCUACCAAAGCCCUCAUGAUUGACCAAGCUAUAUCUUGAUUCAACUCCACCCACUUGCUCUUUACAGCAGCCCAGGCCCAUCUGUAGCUGCCGGAACAAAAAAGCCCCAACGUAAAUGACAAAACCGAAACACUAAAGCACAUCCACCAUGCUAAAUAGCCCAAAAGCUAUAUUAAACCACGACACUUUAGCCAAUACCAAGCGUACAAGCCAAUGCCCAGCAUCCAAGCAUACAAGCCAAAGCUUAGCGUACAAGCCAAUACUAAGCAUACAUGCCAAUGCCAAGCAUACACACCAAUGCCAAGCAUCCAAGCCAAUACCAAGCGUACAAGACAAAGCCAAGCAUACAAGUCAAUACCAAGCAUACAUGCCAAUGCUACGCGUAUACGCCAAUGCCAAGCAUCUAAGCCAAUACCAAGCAUACAAGCCAAAGCCAAGCGUACAAGCCAAUACCAAGCAUAUAUGAGCCCAAGAUCAAGCGUACAUGCCAAUGCCAAGCAUCCAAAUCAAAUACUAAGAAUACAUGUCAACAUCAAGCAUACAUGCCAACACCAAAUAUACACGUAAAAACCAAGGAAGCAAGCACGGAUGUUUCAUGCAUAUUGAAGAACCAGCCAUGUCAUGCCACUGCCAAUUAUUUUGGGCUGAAAUAGAUUAUUGGGCCCAUCUCACUGCCACUUCAUAGCCCCAAUAAUCAAGGGGGCUAAUGUUGAGGCCCAAAAAAGUUACGGGAAGCUCAAAGACAUUCAAAGCCUAAUAUAACCUAUAAUGUCACUCAUGCGUUAAUCCAAGCUGUAAUUUGGAUUUAAUUCAUUAAAUAAAUAUAGAAAUAGUGUACAUGCCAUACCAAAAUAAUAAUACAUUUUUUCCAUGCCAAUCACCUAUCAAGCUCACAUGAACCCAAGUCAUGUGGUUUAUGGGGCUUGCAAGAGGGAUUGUGGUGUGGAAGGUUACGGAGGUCCACAAGGUUCAUGGAAGCUCUUGAAUAAUGGAGACUUUGGGCUAGCUACUUGGGAGCACCAAAGUCCAAGCCCAUUACUUAGAGUUCUCUAAUGUGGGUGAGCAAAUGAGACAUUUUUUAAGCACUUCCUUUUAUCCAUAGGAAAUAGUCAUUUUCCAAAUAUCUAGCUUUACCCGUUGGAAACAAGCCUUUUCCAGCACUUCCUAUUACCCACUGGAAAUAAGCAGUUUCUAUUACUUCCUUUUACCAAUAGGAAAUAAUCUGUUUAUGGUACUAGCUUUACCUGCUGGAAAAUAGUAUGCCCUAGUGCUCCCUUUUAACCAUUAGAAAUAGGUUGGUUCCAGUACCUCCCUUUACCUAUUGGAAAUAAAGGAAAACCCUCACUCUCUAUAAAUUGGCACUCAUGGCUCAAGUAAAAGGCACCAAUUUUUCUUCAGCCAACACUCCCUAACUCAGCUGCUGCAAGCAUCCCAGCAGCCACCAACCCCCAUAAAGCAUCACCUAGCUCCAAGCUUUUCCUUCCUUCCAAGCUUUAAACACCAUAGCCUUCAAACCUCAAGCUUUUCCUUCCAUCAUCUUUCUCUUGAAACUCUUAAAUCCCCAUAGCCAUAGCCACACACAACAAAUUAUCAACACCAAACUCAAACAUAUCCAACACCAAGCCAAGCACAUGCAUUCUCAUUUGCUAAACUUGUGGGUCUUUAGCUCCCACACUCCAAGCUCUCAUGCCAAGCUCAUAUAAUCUCAUACCAACAUCAGCAAGUCAUCUUCAACUCUUCGUCGAGCUGCCGAAAACAUCAACGCAAAACACGCAGCCGAUGGAAGAAGAACAAAGUACUCUCCCGAGACUUGCUUCUCCCUCGGGAUACUUUGGGCCUAGUUCUCGCUAACUCAGACAAAGGGGCAACGAAGUCUUCAUUCAUCACUCUAUGGCGAUCCAAGAAUCAACAAAGCCCGGAUGAGCCUUCGGACGAAAAAGACCCCAACAGAUAUAAAAAUACCAUUUUUCCCCUGCAGUUAACAGAAAAGUUAACAGCCGGACCAUUUGUCCUAACGAAACUGAAGUUGAAGAACUACGGGAACCAUUUUGAAAAUUGAGGUACUCAAAUACAAAUCGGGUCUAAGUUCAGGGAUUAAUAAAACAAUUAACCCCUGAGUUUAUAAUGCUCGAGAGUAUAUAGGAAGAGGACACUCCAACUGGCAGCUAUGGAGGAGGCCAAGACUAGUAGUGUCUAUUCUGUGAAAGCUAACUUUGCUUUCUUAUUAUCCACAACUUAGAUAUAUCAAUGGCUUCUUGCAAGAACCUCAAUUCUUUAUGAACUUUCUGCCCUAAAAUGCUUUAUCUAAUAGCUCAGACAAUGGUGAAAGAAAAAAAAUUGUUGUUGGAAUCUUAGCAUAAUAAUAUUUUCCAGCCAAAAUCAGUUGUUAGAUUCUCCAACAGCACAAUCUCUUUUCGCAAUCACAUACUAGUCAAUCCUACAGAGCAUAAGAUCCUACUUUGAGGGGUGGAAAGGAAUGAAUUCAACUCACCACUAUUAUGACCAAGGCAAUAAUUUUCAUUUCCAUCACAUGAUUCUAGGUGACCCACAACUCCAUACCACCAACCUGCAAUAUAUACAGAAAAUCCUAUCAAGCAAUGGACAAUGGGAAAUUAAUUAAUUUCACCUUUUAUUUAAGUUUCUGCAUAUUAAACGAAUCUACUUUCAUUAUAUAUUUAAGGGAAAUGUAAGCCUUUUUUUUCGUUCUUUACCCUUUUUUUUCCUCACCUUAAUGGGGCUUGAGGAUGUUUGAAUUGUUCGCUAGAACUACUUUCAUUAUCUAUUUGAGGCAUACUUCAUGAACCACAUGGAUUCUAGGAAGUGAUAUAGACCUUUGUUUCUUUCAUUUGAGCCCUUCUAGCCAACCCGUAUCACUUUUAUCCCUUGUUAAUCACCUUGUGCCUUUUAUGUAAGCCUUUUUUUUCGUUCUUUACCCUUUUUUCCUCACCUUAAUCUAUCAUAUGUUACCCUUCUAAGGAGUUUUGUACAGUAUUUUCGUUGUUAAGGGAGAAUUGCACAACAAUCAUGUGGAAAGUAAAGGAUACUAUUUCCAAAAAAAAAACCUAAUUUCAAACCCUUUUCAACUCGAGUUAUUGAGCCCUAUGAGUGUUUUACAUUUAAUUUCGUAAAGCUAUGUAGCUUGGGAGUCAUUGGCCUAACACUCGCUGCAUGGGUUGAUUAGAAAGCUAAUGAAGAGUUAGAAAAAAAAAUUGUGAAAAAUAAAUAAAUUUCAAGACAGUAUCAAUAUGAAGUUGCGUGCUCAAAGUGCAAGAUGUUAUAAUUUUCAUGGAAAGCUCUAUGAAUUCCUUAGAAUUUGUUCAUCCAUAUCUUUUUCUUGUUUCACCCGUCACUCUAAGCCCCAUUACAACCUUAUUUGAAGACUAUUCUGCUAUUUUCUCAAGGCGUGCAAUAUAUGACUGGAAAGAUAAGAUAAAGACCUACAAUUUACAUAUUUUUUCAGAAUUUUCUCGGAGGAGGAAUGAUUCCAAACGUGGGUGCAAAGUAACUAACGUGUUAUCCUAGUCCAAGUAGGAAGAUGAGUCAAUUACUUACCCAUUUUGGAUUUAAGUUUUAAUUAGCUGUUUCUUUAUUUUUGGGCUGUUGUAAAAGGCCAGCUAAGGUAGGAAUAGACGUGUGGCAUUUUAUUUAAGCAUGAGACAACUCCUUUGGGAAGACGCAAAGACUAGGAGAAAUUGGAGACGCCGGAAGAGUACCACAAUUGGCUAAGUUUUAUUGUUUCUUCCUUAUGUUUUUGUUUAUGUCAAAUUCUAUGAUUAUGUGUAACUAAUUUUAUUUUGCUAGGGCAUGAUGUAUGCCUAGUAUGAUAAUCUAGUUUUCUUAUUUUACCUAUCUAUUGAUUGCAGUUUGAUGUUAGAUUCUUAAUCACUGUGCUUAGUACCUUAGUUGAUUACCUUGAUGCUUGAUCACCAUCUAGACUUUUAAUUGAGUUAAUCGGAUGCGAAUUAGAGUAAAUACCAUACUUAAUUUGAGGUUUGCUUCUUGUGAUUAGAAUUUGUAAUUUGUCUAAAGUAAAUACCAUACUCCUAGAAUUUACAUGCUUGUUGGAGGUUUUCACUGAUUUCAAUAUUUUCCCGACAUGUGAUGCCAACAACAUAGAUGUUUCAAUGUUUCACUAUGGAAGCAAUCACGUAAGGAUUAACAUGGCAGGACAUCAGACAUGAGAAACUAAGAAGAGAGAGAGAGAGAGAGAGAGAGACUUGCCAUUCAAGCAAGAGAAGGCCAUAACACUAUAUAGCAAUAGCACCGUAAAAUAAGAUGCAAAGAAUGAGGGGGUCAUGUUUUCAAGUACCAAAACACGCAAGGGCAUUUUGGUAAAGUACAUCUGAAAAUAAAUCAAGGCAAGCAAAGCCGUAGAUAUCCUCUUCCUGCUACACAUAGUAUUAGCCUACGUAAGGUCAUUACGGCGCCGUUUCCCUUUUUAAUUGGCGUAGUUCAACUCAUCAUCCACCCAAGUUCAUUUCGUUCAAAGCUAUAAAUAACCCCUCAAACCAUUCAACUUUCCCACCACCACUCCUCACUCCUUCAACUCAUUAACCUCUCUCUCUCUCUCUCUCUCUCUCUCUCUCUCUCUCAUCCGCAAAUGGCGAACCGUAGAAGCCUCUUUUCUCUCUCACUUAUCUUUGUGUUCAUGAUCAACUCAGCCAUAGCCACUCCAGUCACAUACAAUGUGGCCAGUUUAGGAGCCAAAGCAGAUGGCAAGACUGACUCCACAAAAGCCUUCCUCUCUGCAUGGGCUAAAGCUUGUGCCUCGAUGAAUCCCGGUGUCAUUUAUGUGCCGGCAGGAACGUUCUUUCUUCGCGAUGUGGUGUUCAGUGGGCCUUGCAAGAACAAUGCCAUCACCUUCCGCAUUGCCGGAACCCUUGUGGCCCCGUCGGAUUACCGGGUCAUCGGUAAUGCAGCUAACUGGAUUUUCUUUCACCAUGUAAACGGGGUUACCAUAUCAGGUGGAAUUCUUGACGGCCAAGGCACGGCCUUGUGGGCUUGCAAGGCCUCUCAUGGCGAGAGUUGUCCCAGCGGAGCAACGGUAAUUAAUUCACUACUUUAAAUAUCAUAUUCAUGACACCAUUAAAUAUCAAAUUCAUGACACCAUUAUUUUGUGCUUCAUUAUUAGUGAGAAUUUUAAAGGUCAACGUACGUACAAUUUGCUUUAUUAUUUGCUACCAAUUGAAUUGAGGGUUUAUAAAAUAAGUUCAAACUCCACAGAACGUAAUCAAAUGGACAUGAUAAAUUGUACCACAAGUUUAGCUUGAUCAAGUAAUUUCGUAAUAUGUGCAGACUUUGGGUUUUUCCGACUCAAACAACAUCGUGGUGAGUGGAUUGGCAUCCCUAAACAGCCAAAUGUUCCAUAUAGUCAUCAACGACUGCCAAAAUGUGCAAAUGCAAGGUGUCAGGGUUUCUGCUUCCGGUAAUAGCCCUAACACCGAUGGCAUUCAUGUCCAAAUGUCAUCUGGUGUCACAAUCCUCAACUCCAAGAUUGCAACCGGUGACGAUUGUGUCUCAAUUGGCCCCGGAACCUCAAAUUUGUGGAUAGAAGGCGUUGCUUGUGGACCUGGCCAUGGAAUUAGGUACGACAUCAAAAUUAUAUAUUUAUCCAUGAUUGAUUAAACUAGCUAAAUGCAUACUAUUUCAUAAUAUAUGUUAUAAUGUAUAUCUUUUUUCUUCAUUGCUUAAUGACAUUUGAACUUAGGACAUCUUUCAAUAAAGUGGAGAUUAAUUGAUUGCUAGUAGAGAUUCAUUGCCUACAAAAAGUAUAUCUUUCUUUUGGGUGGAUGUUCUAGUUGUAAAUUUAACAUUGCUUUACUUGAUGGUU